Molecule: ribosomal RNA, 534 nt
Filed under: uncultured bacterium
Lineage: Bacteria
Description: bacterial SSU rRNA
Rfam family: Bacterial small subunit ribosomal RNA
Source: RNAcentral
CAAUAGAUACCCAGGUAGUCCUAGCUGUAAACGAUGAGCACUGGGUUGAGGGGACUUCCACAUCCUCUCGGCCGUAGCGAAAGCGUUAAGUGCUCCGCCUGGGGAGUAUGGCCGCAAGGCUGAAACUCAAAGGAAUUGACGGGGGCUCACACAAGCGGUGGAGGAUGUGGCUUAAUUCGAGGCUACGCGAAGAACCUUAUCCUAGAUUUGACAUGGUUGAGAAUCUCCUUGAAAGAGGAGAGUGCCCUUCGGGGAGCUCUUUCACAGGUGCUGCAUGGCUGUCGUCAGCUCGUGUCGUGAGAUGUUGGGUUAAGUCCCUUAACGAGCGAAACCCUUAUCUUUAGUUGCCGGCGGGUCAAGCCGGGGACUCUAAAGAGACUGCCGGUGUCAAACCGGAGGAAGGUGGGGAUGACGUCAAGUCCUCAUGGCCUUUAUGUCUAGGGCUGCACACGUCCUACAAUGGCACGUACAAAGGGAAGCCAAGCCGCGAGGCCGCGCUAAUCCCAAAAAGCGUGCCCCAGUUCGGAUUGCAGG